This 253-nucleotide ribosomal RNA is filed under the name uncultured bacterium. RNAcentral describes it as "partial 16S ribosomal RNA". It matches the Rfam family "Bacterial small subunit ribosomal RNA", at positions 524 to 776 of the family's 1533-position model. The record is from RNAcentral.
GACGUAGGGCGCGAGUGUUGUCCGGAUUUAUUGGGCGUAAAGAGCUCGUAGGCGGCUUGUCGCGUCGUCCGUGAAAACUUGGGGCUCAACCCCAAGCUUGCGGUCGAUACGGGCAGGCUCGAGUUCGGUAGGGGAGACUGGAAUUCCUGGUGUAGCGGUGAAAUGCGCAGAUAUCAGGAGGAACACCAGUGGCGAAGGCGGUGCUCUGGGCCGGAACUGACGCUGAGGAGCGAAAGCGUGGGGAGCAAACAGG